UAAUAAGUAAUGAUGCAGAGCCAAGGGCAACCCCCACUCUCUCACAUUCUAAGUCGGCAGACGAGAUCUUCGGCCAUUUUUGCUUCGGUCUCAGAUUGUCGGACAAGGGCAGGUCGGCUUUCUUUCUCGUCGGACAAGCCCAAGCUGCCAUUUUCUUCGCUGGCCGCUGCUCUUUCCUUCUCUUCAAACUUCUCUCAGGCUACACCAGGAUUUUCCUCUCUUUGUUGAGCUGCUACCAUGGUUAUAGACAGUGGCAGCCAGGACCAGUCCCAUAAGGCUCAUCGGUCUCGUCAAGCAGGUCCAAAGAAGAAGGCGAAAUCAGAUAAGAAGAAGAAGCUCUCAACCGAGGAAAAGAAGCAAAACCCUAAGGCAUUUGCCUUUACUUCAACAGUGAAAGCUAAGCGUUUGCAGUCUCGAGCUGUAGAGAAGGAGCAGCGUAGACUUCAUUUGCCGACUAUUGAUCGGGCUUAUGGUGAACCACCUCCUUUUGUUGUUGUUGUGCAUGGACCGCCCCAGGUUGGCAAGUCUCUAUUGAUAAAAUGUCUUGUAAAGCAUUAUACGAAGCAAAAUUUACCUGAGGUUCGAGGACCAAUUACCAUUGUGUCAGGUAAGCAAAGGCGGGUUCAGUUUGUUGAGUGCCCUAAUGACAUCAAUGGCAUGAUUGAUGCUGCAAAAUAUGCUGAUCUAGCUUUGUUGUUGAUAGAUGGAAGCUAUGGCUUUGAAAUGGAGACUUUUGAAUUUCUUAAUAUUUUGCAAGUUCAUGGAUUCCCAAAGGUCAUGGGAGUCCUUACUCACCUUGAUAAAUUCAAGGAUGUGAAAAAACUUAAGAAAACAAAGCAGAGACUCAAGCAUCGUUUCUGGACAGAAAUAUAUGAUGGGGCAAAAUUGUUCUAUUUGUCUGGUCUUAUUCAUGGGAAGUACUCUAAGCGAGAGAUUCACAAUCUUGCUCGCUUUAUUUCUGUUAUGAAGUUUCAUCCGUUAUCGUGGCGAACUGCUCACCCAUAUAUUUUAGUAGAUCGCUUUGAAGAUGUGACUCCUUCUGAACGAGUGCAUAUGGACAAUAAAUGUGACAGGAAUGUCACACUUUACGGUUAUUUGCGGGGUUGUAAUUUGAAAAAGGGGACUAAGGUGCAUAUUGCUGGUGUUGGUGAUUAUAGUUUGGCUGGUAUUACAGCUUUGGCUGACCCUUGUCCUUUACCAUCAGCUGCGAAAAAGAAAGGAUUGAGAGACAAGGAAAAACUGUUUUAUGCUCCCAUGUCUGGCCUUGGGGAUCUGCUGUAUGACAAGGAUGCUGUGUACAUAAACAUAAAUGACCACUUUGUUCAGUUCUCUAAAGUUGAUGAUGAAAAUGGGGGAACAAAACGCAAAGGAAAGGAGCAAGAUGUAGGUGAGGUUUUGGUGAAAUCACUACAGAACACAAAAUAUUCAAUUGAUGAGAAAUUGGAGAAUAGCUUCAUUACCCUUUUCAGCAGGAAUCCUAUUAUUGCAUCUGAUACUCAGAAUUAUGUAAGUGAUAGUUACGAGGAGCAGAGACGUGAUAUUGAUCCUCUUAAGCAGAAUGAGCUUGAGGAUCAAAUUGAACCAGGUGGGUCUAGAGAAGAAAGUGAUACUGAAGAUUCGGAUGGUUCAGAGUCUUCUGAUCACAAUGAAGUGGCUCAAAGGGAUGCCAUGGUAAAUGGGGAAGAUGGAGUAUCUGAUGAUGAGUGUGGUGGUGAUGCAUCAAAUCAUCAAGCUAAUCUUAAAGACUGCUUGAAGGAACAUGCUGAGUUUUAUGGUGGAAGACUCCGGAGAAAAGCUAUGUUUGGGGAUGACAUGGAUGACAAGGAUCUAGAGGAGUCUGAUGACGAGAGUGAAGAUGAUGAUGAGGAUAAUCAAUCAUAUUCUGAUUCAGAUGUUUCGGAGGAAGAUGGAGAGGAUAAUGGAACAGAUGAAGAUGGCCUGGGCAAUGUAUCAAAGUGGAAAGAGUCAUUGGUUGAAAGGACUGUCUCAAGAAAAAAUAUUAAUCUCAUGCAACUUGUGUAUGGGACUUCUGCAUCGACAACUGCCAUAAAUGAAAAGCGGGAGAGUAUUGAUGAUGAGGAAAGUGAUGGAGAUGACUUCUUUAAGCUAAAAGGGGAAGGCAAUAAGAAAUUGAAAGAGGGAUUGGAUGGUACAGACAUCAACACUGAGGACUGCUCCAAAUUUACAAAUUAUGCGGAUCUUAAAAAUUGGAAAGAAGAAGAGAUAUAUGAAAGUAUUCGUGAUCGUUUUGUCACUGGUGACUGGUCAAAAGCUGCCCAAAGAAAUCAACCCUCCAAGGCAAACACUGAAGAAGAUGAUGUCUAUGGUGACUUUGAAGAUUUGGAAACAGGUGAUAGAUAUGAGAGCCAUCAUAAAGAUGAAUCUGGCAGUCAUCCUGUCAAGAUGGAAGAUGAUCUUGCAGCAGAGGAGCGGAGACUUAAAAAGCUGGCACUUCGUGCUAAAUUUGAUGCUCAGUAUAAUGGAUCUGAGCCACCUGAGGAAGAUGAUGAGAAACAAGGAGCCCAGGUUCAUCGUGAACAAGCCAAUGAAAGUGGAUUUUUCGACAAGUUGAAGGAGGAGAUUGAACUCCGUAAAAAAAGGAAUAUUGCUGAACUCAAUGACCUAGACGAGGAAACUCGAUUAGACAUUGAGGGCUUCCAUACUGGGAUGUAUCUAAGAUUAGAGGUUCAUGAUGUUCCUUUCGAGAUGGUUGAACAUUUUGAUCCCUGCCAUCCAAUCCUGGUUGGAGGAAUUGGUUUUGGUGAGGAAAAUGUUGGAUACAUGCAGACAAGGUUAAAACGGCACAGAUGGCACAGGAAGGUACUAAAGACUAGAGACCCUAUAAUUGUGUCUAUUGGUUGGAGGCGUUACCAAACUACACCUGUCUAUGCAAUUGAAGAUCAAAAUGGAAGGCAUCGCAUGCUCAAGUACACUCCAGAACACAUGCAUUGUCUUGCCAUGUUCUGGGGUCCUCUUGCCCCUCCCCACACCGGGGUGGUUGCUGUCCAGAAUUUAUCUAACAUUCAGGCAGCAUUUCGAAUAACUGCAACUGCAGUUGUACUCGAGUUCAAUCAUGCAGCAAAGAUAAUGAAGAAAGUCAAGCUAGUUGGUUAUCCAUGUAAGAUAUUCAAGAAGACUGCACUGAUCACAAAUAUGUUUACUUCUGAUCUUGAAGUAGCUCGGUUUGAAGGUGCUGCUAUUCGAACUGUCAGUGGGAUACGGGGGCAGGUGAAAAAGGCUGCAAAAGAUGAAAUAGGUAAUCAGCCCAGAAAGAAGGGAGGGGCACCAAGAGAGGGAAUUGCCCGGUGCACCUUUGAGGACAGGAUUUUGAUGAGUGACAUUGUUUUUCUGCGUGCAUGGACUCAAGUUGAAGUUCCUCAGUUCUAUAACCCAUUGACUACUUCAUUGCAACCUCGUGGUAAGACCUGGCAGGGAAUGAAAACGGUGGCUGAAUUAAGGAGGGAACACAAUCUCCCUGUUCCUGCUAACAAGGAUUCACAGUACAAGCCUAUUGAAAGAAAGCCAAAGAAGUUCAACCCAUUGGUGAUACCUAAGUCAUUACAGGCAGCACUUCCAUUUGAAUCCAAACCAAAGGAUAUACCCAGUCAGAAACGGCCUCUUCUUGAAAAUAGAAGAGCCGUUGUCAUGGAUUCUCGAGAGCGAAAACUUCAUAGUCUUGUUCAACACCUUCAAAGGAUCAGACAUGAGAAGAUGAAGAAGCGAAAGCUUAGGGAAGAGCAGAAGAGAAAAGAAUACGAAGCAGAGAAAGCCAAGGACGAGCAAUUGUCAAGAAAGCGCCAGAGAGAAGAACGGCGUGAGAGAUAUCGUGUGCAGGACAAAUUGAAGAAAAAAAUGCGCAGAAAUUCAGAGGCCUAAUGAUAGCCGAUUAGAAUGGUUCGCUGAAUCCCCCAUUCAUCUGGUAUGAGGUGCACAGUUGAUAUCUCAAAAUGACAUUGCUGCAAGUUUGCAACGCUAGGCACUCUGACCAUCUUGAAUGGUAAGAUCUUACUCCCAAUAGCGCAAAGCCACCAACCAUACAUUGCUUCCAUGAGGAUUCACAUCUCUUGUAAUUUAGAUCAUCAUCCAACAUUUCUGAGCUAUUGUCCAUUUCUUUCAAGUACUGAAACUUCGUUUAGACUGAGGAUAUGAAGAGUGAUUUGGUUCUGUUUAGGGUUUUCAAGUGUUGAAUUGGGCUUUGAGCAUCACACUUGAGCUGAGAGAAGUUGGUAUUUUGGGCUACUUCAUAUUAAAUUAAUCAAAGUUUUGUAAGAGUUAUAUUCUAGUUAGUACUUGAAAACUCUGUAUAUUUAUUUUAGAGGGGCAGUUAAUUUUGUUUUAAUUGAAACAUUUUCAUUGAAGCAUAAACACAUCUUCG
RNAcentral lists this unclassified non-coding RNA (4375 nucleotides) under Hevea brasiliensis (rubber tree). The record is from RNAcentral. Lineage: Eukaryota; Viridiplantae; Streptophyta; Magnoliopsida; Malpighiales; Euphorbiaceae.